UGGGGAAUAUUGCACAAUGGGCACAAGCCUGAUGCAGCCAUGCCGCGUGUGUGAAGAAGGCCUUCGGGUUGUAAAGCACUUUCAGCGAGGAGGAAGGUGGUGAGCUUAAUACGCUCAUCAAUUGACGUUACUCGCAGAAGAAGCACCGGCUAACUCCGUGCCAGCAGCCGCGGUAAUACGGAGGGUGCAGCGUAAUCGGAAUUACUGGGCGUAAAGCGCACGCAGGCGGUUUGUUAAGUCAGAUGUGAAAUCCCCGGGCUCAACCUGGGAACUGCAUUUGAAACUGGCAAGCUAGAGUCUCGUAGAGGGGGGUAGAAUUCCAGGUGUAGCGGUGAAAUGCGUAGAGAUCUGGAGGAAUACCGGUGGCGAAGGCGGCCCCCUGGACGAAGACUGACGCUCAGGUGCGAAAGCGUGGGGCAGCAAACAGAUUAGAU
RNAcentral lists this ribosomal RNA (434 nucleotides) under uncultured bacterium. RNAcentral describes it as "partial 16S ribosomal RNA". It matches the Rfam family "Bacterial small subunit ribosomal RNA", at positions 355 to 783 of the family's 1533-position model. The record is from RNAcentral.